UACAGAGGGGGCAAGCGUUGUUCGGAAUUACUGGGCGUAAAGGGCGCGUAGGCGGCCUUCUAAGUCGAACGUGAAAUCCCCGGGCUCAACCCGGGAACUGCGUCCGAUACUGGAAGGCUUGAAUCCGGGAGAGGGAUGCGGAAUUCCAGGUGUAGCGGUGAAAUGCGUAGAUAUCGUAAGGAAGACCAGUGGCGAAGGCGGGUCUCUGGACAGUUCCUGCCGCUGAGGCACGAAGGUCAGGGGAGCAAACGGG
Molecule: ribosomal RNA, 253 nt
Filed under: uncultured bacterium
Lineage: Bacteria
Description: partial 16S ribosomal RNA
Rfam family: Bacterial small subunit ribosomal RNA
Source: RNAcentral